This 136-nucleotide microRNA precursor is filed under the name Hordeum vulgare. RNAcentral's name for it is "microRNA MIR1122". It matches the Rfam family "MIR1120/MIR1122 microRNA precursor family". Lineage: Eukaryota; Viridiplantae; Streptophyta; Magnoliopsida; Poales; Poaceae. The record is from RNAcentral.
CACAUACUUCCUCCGUCCCAAAAUUCUUGUCCUAGAUUUCUCAAGAUAUGAAUGUAUCUAGUCAUAUUUUAGUAUUUAGAUACAUCCAUUUCUAGACAAACCUAAGACAAGAAUUUUGGGACGGAGGGAGUAAUUG